This 198-nucleotide ribosomal RNA is filed under the name uncultured bacterium. Its description in RNAcentral is "partial 16S ribosomal RNA". It matches the Rfam family "Bacterial small subunit ribosomal RNA", at positions 328 to 539 of the family's 1533-position model. The record is from RNAcentral.
ACGCUCGACACCUACGGGAGCAGCAGUGGGGAAUAUUGCACAAUGGGGGAAACCCUGAUGCAGCGACGCCGCGUGAGGGAAGAAGGUUUUCGGAUUGUAAACCUCUGUCCUUGGUGAAGAAAGCAGACGGUAGCCAAGGAGGAAGCCACGGCUAACUACGUGCCAGCAGCCACGGUAAUCUGAGCGGGCUGGCAAGGC